GUCAGCCUUCCCGAUCCUGGACGGCAUCGCCGCAAUCCUAACAGUGGGCGUGGUCGCCAUCGCUCUCACUUGGUAUCUCUUGAAAGAGACGCCAGCCGAAAAGGAGCCGCCGAACCCACUGAUGACUACGAAGAAGUCGACCCUGUUGCCGACCACGUUGCCGAUCACCCCCAGCUUGACGACGACAGAUGUGUGCCUACAAGGAGAGAGUAAAGAAUUUGAACUUCAGCAUCGCCGGGUACGACAUUGAUGCCGACGAGUCAUCUGCCCCGUGCAAUAAGGUCAAAUACACGAGCCAGUACAGUAAGCUGAAGCUGCUCAGUAAGCUGGUGGACUUCAUGAAGUACACCAACGAGAAGGACUGCAAUAGUGUCUCCUAGCAAGUGUUGACAUUCGCUACGGUGCGUGGCGUAGGGAAAGGACCUUAUGCCUGAUCGUCUGCUACGAUUAGUGGUGAAGACUGCACAUUUUCUUGUGUUUGGAUAUACCUCUUCCUUUUAUAAUGUAGCUACCCUGUGGUAUUUAUGCUACAUGUAUACUGUACCUUAGUUUCAUAAGAGAGUCCUUGUGUAAAGACUCCAUUGUGUGAUAGAAUACGUCGGUCAUUUCAUUGCGAUCACUGCCUUAUGUAUCUUUCUUUCGACAUGCGAAAUGAAUUGAAUGUCCAUUGUUCAAUAGGAAAAGAAGAAAUACAAGAAUGCGCUAAAAUAUAUUGCCAUUAAAUUGGUAAAAUAAACAGUACGAAGCUCUUAGAAUCGUAAGCAAGAGGAAAUACAAAAGUCACAAAAGUAAGGGCAAUCUAGAAAACAAAACAAGAAGGAACAAACAAUACGAGGCACGUGUCAAGGGACCUUUUGCUUAUCAAGGUGUAUAGUUAAAUUAUCGUAAAACUUUAUGUAUUACAAUAUCAACGAAAUUUGAUUAUCACCAUAGGCUACCACAUUUUCAACAAUACGGUUAGAAAAGAAGAACACAUACAUUUACAUUUAUGAAUAAAAACGUGAAAAAAGUAAUAAAGAAAGAAGCACACAAAUAGGCAGCAUAUUACACACAGCUCGUAAAAAUAAAAUUACCAACGCUUGCUCCCAACAAUAGGGUCGCAAACAUUCCAAAUGUACAACAAAUCAGAAAGCAGACUAUAAGGUUAAAUAAAUGUAUAACAUUGCAACACUUGCGCGUGCUUUCGCACAUCGUAGGUAUGGAUGUAACAUCGAUCUGGAGAGAAAAAUACCCAAAUAACUAAACUUAACCAUCAGCUUCACAAAAUAACCAAACAUAACCUCUGAGGCGUAAGUAGAUAAGCGUGGAUCACCUUACAAAAAGCGCUACUGAGCGGCAUUAUUCUAUCAUGCUGGUAAUAACAUGAUCUGUAUCCAUUAGCUGAGGAACCAUGUGUGCAAGUUUUUGCCUGCCGUGAUUUGACCGGAUUCUCUCAGUCUACAGUUAGCGUAUUUGAAACUAUAGGCAUGUUAUUUCCAAAAGUAAGCUUCACGGAAUGCAUUCUUGCUUCAGGUGAUUUGGUCGUAAAUAUUUGUCCGCAUUUUAUUGUAAAAAUAUUUUCAAACGUUACAUUGUGGUGCUUGUGAAAGAUCUGGGCGGAAUGCGUUCGCCGAGGAACGCCUUCAUCUAUGCCUACGAUUGUCUUUUGCAAUGUAUGAGAACUUUACUCAUUUGAGCCACUGUGCCCCAAAUAACAAACUAGAAGAUUCCUCACAACACUAGCACAUAAUAAAGCCCCUUUGCUACUCAAAGCGGCAAUAAACACCUUUUUUGCAUUACACUUGAAGAGUGUGAAAUAUCUGAACGAAGUUUGUUGACGUGAAAUGGCCAGUUUAGGGUUUCACGGAAAUUAAUGCCGAGCAACUUAUGACAUGCAGCGCGUUCAAUGAAAACCCCUCGAAAUGUAACUUUAAUUUUGCGGAGUAUACAUCUUUCUCUAAGUCGAAAAACAACCUGUCAUGUAUUUUUAGUGUUUAGCUCAAAUUUGUUUUUGUUUGUUAUUUUGUUUUUCUAGAUUACUUGAAUCAUUGCCACAGAAAACCAAGUUUGCGUCAUCAGCGUAUGUAAUGAUGUUCGGUGUUAGUGGUAUACAUACGAUAUCAUUUACAUACAACAGGAGCAAGAAGGGGCCACUUAUACACCCCUGCGGGACACCGUAUAUUACUUUACCCGUUUUUUGAUAUUGCCUGCUGCGCGCCAGUGCACUGAACUCAAUAUAUGUGAUCACGAACAUCUUAUUCCGUGUUCGUUUGGCUUUUCUAAGAGAAUUUCGCGCUUGAUGACAUCAAAGGCUUUCUGAAUAUCGAGAAAUAUUCCAGUUGUGGGAAGUUUCUGCCCAAAAUUAUCAAUUAAUUUGGCUUUAUAUUAGCAACUUUUUCUCGGUACAUUUAUUUUUCUGCAAUCCGAAUCGGUGCUUUGUUACA
Long non-coding RNA from Dermacentor andersoni, 2423 nucleotides. RefSeq lists it as uncharacterized. NCBI's taxonomy places the organism in Eukaryota, Metazoa, Arthropoda, Arachnida, Ixodida, Ixodidae. The record is from RefSeq and is a predicted model, not a curated record.